This 328-nucleotide ribosomal RNA is filed under the name uncultured bacterium. Its description in RNAcentral is "bacterial SSU rRNA". It matches the Rfam family "Bacterial small subunit ribosomal RNA", at positions 28 to 351 of the family's 1533-position model. The record is from RNAcentral.
GAUGAACGCUGGCGGCGUGCCUAAUACAUGUAAGUCGAACGGAGGGUUUUUGCUUCGGUAGAGACCCUUAGUGGCGAACGGGUGAGUAACGCGUUGGUGACCUGCCCCGAAGAGCGGGAUAACAGAUCGAAAGGUCUGCUAAUACCGCAUGAGGUCGUGGAGGUUAGAGGCUUCACGACGAAAGGAGCGAUCCGCUUUGGGAGGGGCCUGCGUCCCAUCAGCUAGUUGGUAGGGUAAAAGCCUACCAAGGCGAAGACGGGUAGGGGACCUGAGAGGGUGACCCCCCACACUGGCACUGAAACACGGGCCAGACACCUACGGGUGGCAG